Molecule: ribosomal RNA, 253 nt
Filed under: uncultured bacterium
Lineage: Bacteria
Description: partial 16S ribosomal RNA
Rfam family: Bacterial small subunit ribosomal RNA
Source: RNAcentral
UACGUAGGGUGCAAGCGUUGUCCGGAAUUAGUGGGCGUAAAGAGCUCGUAGGCGGUUUGUUGCGUCGGCUGUGAAAUCCCGAGGCUCAACCUCGGGUCUGCAGUCGAUACGAGCAAACUAGAGUGUUGCAGGGGAGACUGGAAUUCCUGGUGUAGCGGUGAAAUGCGCAGAUAUCAGGAGGAACACCGGUGGCGAAGGCGGGUCUCUGGGCAACAACUGACGCUGAGGAGCGAAAGCGUGGGGAGCGAACAGG